AUCCAGCUGACGAGUCCAAAAUAGGACGAAACACGAGUCCUGGAU
Molecule: non-coding RNA, 45 nt
Filed under: Schistosoma haematobium
Lineage: Eukaryota; Metazoa; Platyhelminthes; Trematoda; Strigeidida; Schistosomatidae
Source: RNAcentral